AUGGCUCGUGCUGUUGUUCCGUUGAAUUUUAAUGCGUUCCUUGAGAAAGCAAAGUUGAAAGAUGAUGGUAGCAAUUACACGGACUGGGUCCGUAACUUGAGGAUUAUCCUCAUUGCUGCACAGAAGAAUUACGUCCUUGAAGCACCGCUGGGUGCCAGGCCUGCUGCAGGAGCAACGCCGGAUGUUGUGAACGUCUGGCAGAGCAAAGCUGAUGACUACUCGAUAGUUCAGUGUGCCAUGCUUUACGGCUUAGAAUCGGGACUUCAACGAUGUUUUGAACGUCAUGGAGCAUAUGAGAUGUUCCAGGAGUUGAAGUUAAUAUUUCAAGCAAAUGCCCGGAUUAAGAGAUACGAAGUCUCCAAUAAGUUCUAUAGCUGCAAGAUGGAGGAGAACAGUUCUGUCAGUGAGCAUAUACUCAAAAUGUCUGGGUAUAAUAAUCACUUGAUUCAGUUGGGAGUUAAUCUUCCAGAUGACUGCGUCAUUGACAGAAUUCUCCAAUCACUGCCACCAAGCUACAAGAGCUUCGUGAUGAACUAUAAUAUGCAAGGGAUGAAUAAGACUAUUCCCGAGCUCUUCGCAAUGCUGAAAGCUGCGGAGGUAGAAAUCAAGAAGGAGCAUCAAGUGUUGAUGGUCAACAAGACCACUAGUUUCAAGAAAAAGGGCAAAGGGAAGAAGAAGGGAAACUUCAAAAAGAACGGCAAGCAAGUUGCUACUCAAGAGAAGAAACCCAAACCUGGACCUAAGCCUGAAACUGAGUGCUUCUAUUGCAAGCAGACUGGUCACUGGAAGCGGAACUGCCCCAAGUAUUUGGCGGAUAAGAAGGAUGGCAAGGUGAACAAA
This 840-nucleotide ribosomal RNA is filed under the name Triticum aestivum (bread wheat). Its description in RNAcentral is "partial small subunit ribosomal RNA". Lineage: Eukaryota; Viridiplantae; Streptophyta; Magnoliopsida; Poales; Poaceae. The record is from RNAcentral.